Molecule: non-coding RNA, 31 nt
Filed under: Mus musculus (house mouse)
Lineage: Eukaryota; Metazoa; Chordata; Mammalia; Rodentia; Muridae
Source: RNAcentral
UACAGCGAAAAUUUUAAAUCCAAAAGACAGC